UACAGAGACUGCAAGCGUUAUUCGGAUUCACUGGGCGUAAAGGGUGCGCAGGCGGUUGGGUGUGUCAGAUGUGAAAUCCCGAGGCUCAACCUCGGAACUGCGUCUGAAACUACUCGACUAGAGUAUUGGAGAGGGUACGGAAUUCACGGUGUAGCAGUGAAAUGCGUAGAUAUCGGGAGGAACACCAGUGGCGAAGGCGGCUUCCCUGGCCUGUUCUUGACGCUGAGGCGCGAAAGCUAGGGGGAGCAAACG
Molecule: ribosomal RNA, 252 nt
Filed under: uncultured bacterium
Lineage: Bacteria
Description: partial 16S ribosomal RNA
Rfam family: Bacterial small subunit ribosomal RNA
Source: RNAcentral